CCUUACACUGGGGGAUAGCCUUUAGAAAUGAAGAUUAAUACCCCAUGGUCUAUAGAAGUGGCAUCACUUUUAUAGUAAAGGUUACGGUGUAAGAUGAGUAUGCGUCCUAUUAGUUAGUUGGUAAGGUAACGGCUUACCAAGGCUACGAUAGGUAGGGGCCCUGAGAGGGGGAUCCCCCACACUGGUACUGAGACACGGACCAGACUCCUACGGGAGGCAGCAGUGAGGAAUAUUGGACAAUGGGCGAGAGUGAUCCAGCCAUGCCGCGUGCAGGAAGACUGCCCUAUGGGUUGUAAACUGCUUUUAUACGGGAAGAAACACUCCCUCGUGAGGGAGCUUGACGGUACCGUAAGAAUAAGCAUCGGCUAACUCCGUGCCAGCAGCCGCGGUAAUACGGAGGAUGCAAGCGUUAUCCGGAAUCAUUGGGUUUAAAGGGUCCGUAGCGGGCUAUUAAGUCAGGGGUGAAAGUUUGCGGCUCAACCGUAAAAUUGCCUCUGAUACUGAUAGUCUUGAAUUAGUGUGAAGUGGUUAGAAUGAGUAGUGUAGCGGUGAAAUGCAUAGAGAUUACUCAGAAUACCGAUUGCGAAGCAGAUCACUAACACUAUAUUGACGCUGAGGGACGAAAGCGUGGGGAGCGAACAGGAUUAGAUACCCUGGUAGUCCACGCUGUAAACGAUGGAUACUAGCUGUUCGAUCUUCGGAUUGAGUGGCCAAGCGAAAGUGAUAAGUAUCCCACCUGGGGAGUACGUUCGCAAGAAUGAAACUCAAGGAAUUGACGGGGGCCCGCACAAGCGUGGAGCAUGUGGUUUAAUUCGAUGAUACGCGAGGAACCUUACCAGGGCUUAAAUGCAUUUGGACCGGGGUGGAA
Molecule: ribosomal RNA, 868 nt
Filed under: uncultured bacterium
Lineage: Bacteria
Description: bacterial SSU rRNA
Rfam family: Bacterial small subunit ribosomal RNA
Source: RNAcentral